GCCGGGCGCGGUGGCGCGCGCCUGUAGUCCCAGCUACUCGGGAGGCUGAGGCCGGAGGAUCGCUUGAGUCCAGGAGUUCUGGGCUGUCGUGCGCUAUGCCGAUCGGGUGUCCGCACUAAGUUCGGCAUCAAUAUGGUGACCUCCCGGGAGCGGGGGACCACCAGGUUGCCUAAGGAGGGGUGAACCGGCCCAGGUCGGAAACGGAGCAGGUCAAAACUCCCGUGCUGAUCAGUAGUGGGAUCGCGCCUGUGAAUAGCCACUGCACUCCAGCCUGGGCAACAUAGCGAGACCCUGUCUCUU
Molecule: unclassified non-coding RNA, 300 nt
Organism: Oryctolagus cuniculus (rabbit)
Lineage: Eukaryota; Metazoa; Chordata; Mammalia; Lagomorpha; Leporidae
Rfam family: Metazoan signal recognition particle RNA
About the family: The signal recognition particle (SRP) is a universally conserved ribonucleoprotein. It is involved in the co-translational targeting of proteins to membranes.
Source: Ensembl